GAACAACGUACAGCGGUAUAAUCCCUACUGGUCGAUAUGUAGCUCUUUAGGGGUAAGUCUCACAGCAUCCAGAUGAAUAUUAAAAAGUAAAACAUAAAGCAAACAACAGUGCUUACUGAGUAAAACUAAAAAGAGGGAAAACUAUAAAUGGUUAUUUACUCACAUUUUGUAGAGCAGUAACACCGCUGAAUAGAUAACGCUUGGGUGGAAUGAUCCCCACCAAGGAUAUAAUGUUGAGUAGAUUCUCCUGAAGGCAAUCCUUGCCAGGGAUUGGAUGUAGAGUAGAGUUUUAAAUGUGCC
Non-coding RNA from Pelobates cultripes (western spadefoot toad), 300 nucleotides. The record is from the annotation of a GenBank genome assembly. NCBI's taxonomy places the organism in Eukaryota, Metazoa, Chordata, Amphibia, Anura, Pelobatidae.